AUGAUUGGUUUAUGAAAUGAAUUUGGUUGAUGCUAUUGAUAUGAGACCUUUUGGACGGUGUUCUUAAUUGAUUGAGGUUGAUUCAUGUUGAAUUUCAUGUUCUGUUUUGAAUUUUUUCUCCCUCUUUGACCCUAGGCCUUGCCCUAGUGGUUUGUUGCUUAUGUUUGAGUUUUGUUUUCAGGUUAAGAAGCACAUGGCCAUAAUGGGAUUGAUUCACUUGC
This 221-nucleotide long non-coding RNA is filed under the name Lathyrus oleraceus (garden pea). Its description in RNAcentral is "Pisum sativum (pea) long non-coding RNA (PSAT_LNC025257)". Lineage: Eukaryota; Viridiplantae; Streptophyta; Magnoliopsida; Fabales; Fabaceae. The record is from RNAcentral.